CUCCAAGCACCUCCAUAGCACCUCCCUCGGGACCUUGUCAUACGCCUUCUCCAAGUCGAUAAGCACCAUAUGAAGGUCCUUCUUCUUAUCCCUGAAUUUUUCCGCCAGCCGCCUGAUCAUAUGUAUAAAGUUCUUAAAAAGGUUUCAAUAAGUUUGUAACUUAAUUUCAAGACAUGCGUUUCUAUGACUAAUUGUAGAUUAUAUUUC
This 207-nucleotide long non-coding RNA is filed under the name Nicotiana benthamiana. Its description in RNAcentral is "long non-coding RNA (NBEN_LNC030264)". The record is from RNAcentral. Lineage: Eukaryota; Viridiplantae; Streptophyta; Magnoliopsida; Solanales; Solanaceae.